Cryptotermes secundus is the source of this 1503-nucleotide long non-coding RNA. RefSeq lists it as uncharacterized. The record is from RefSeq and is a predicted model, not a curated record. Lineage: Eukaryota; Metazoa; Arthropoda; Insecta; Blattodea; Kalotermitidae. The transcript has 3 exons.
UGGUCUAAGUGCAUGGGGAAACCCACCCUCUCCAAUAACUAACUAACUAAGAUGACCACCACGACAGAUUGUGCCUACUUCAGGUACUGCAUGAACUUACUGAGCGAAGGCUCACAGCCUGCAAUGGAAAUUCAAGUUCCUCUGAUUGGCUCACACUUAUGCGAUUCGACUAAUUUCGAUACGUGUAUAUUGAUCAGGAGGUGACAACUGGGAUAGGGGAAAGGGAAGCACGGUAACUACUGCCUCUAUGUGUGUGGAAGCAGAUCUUGACCAAUCAGAGAGCUUAAACUAACCAAUCUGAAUACCCACAAUUACAUGCGGUUAUCGUGGUACAUUAUAUGCAAAUUGGUAAGUAUGAAUUUUGAUUUGUUGUGGCUGCGAAACGAAAGUAGACAUUGCAAACGAAAUUACAGCGCCAUGUUAAACAUAUUAUUUGUGUAUGUGAAUAUUAUGCUUACUACCACAAAUGGAAUUAGAAACAUAUAGAAUUCUUUCAAGCCUAACAUUUUUGAGGUUAUGGUGAACUGUCGUCUAAACGAUAUUUGUUUCAUGAUAUUUUCUGCAACUUUCGGUUCAUCCCAAAGAUUGUCUGUAGAAUGUUAAAGAGUUCUAAGAGUACCGUGAUGGUGUUAUAAUUUUUGUAUUGCUUCUUGCAGUAUAGACAUGAAAACGAAAACGUGCUGCUGCUGGGUGCUUGUCAUCCAGCAAGCAAGGCAUCAAAUUCUUCAGCUUUCCAAAGGAUCCAGCACGGGCUGCGGUAUGGGCAGGAAAGGUUGGAAUAACCAUCACUGUUGAUUCUGCUAGAAUGCUGCACAAUAAAUAUUUGUGCAGCAAACAUUUCCUGGAAAGUGAUUUCACUACACAUUGCAGCAAGCCACAACACUGUAUUGGCUUCAGUGGAGUGCUGUGGUGAAUACCUGGCAACAGCUGUUUGGUGAUCACCUUGUGAACACAUUUGAAGCUAUUCGUUUGUAGUCUGGUUUGAACAAUAAUCCAACUGUGGGACAGUUUGUAGAUGCCCUGAAGACUAACAUCAUCAGUGCACUUGCUAUCAGAGGUCUGUGUGGAACUAGCUGUGAGGAUGAUGGUGCUACUGUUGUGUGUAACCUACAGUCAUUGUUCAGGGCACCUGAUGCUUCUUCACCAAAUCCGUCCACAAGUCAUGGCAAGGAAACCCCUGAUGAAGUUACUGAGUUUCCAUGUUACUCAACAAGUACAGAAGGACAUGGUUGCUGCAGUACAUGCUGGUGACAUGGAAGUGUUCUCAGUAGCCUAUGUCAGUGGUUCCAUUGCCAGACAGGUGCUUUGUGGUGUCAGCUGUGAUGCAUGCAAGACAUGCGUGACAUCUGAAGUGCUGCUAUCAGCCAGUGUCUUCAUAUAUUUGUUCAGUUGGAAACAUGAGAAUGUUUCAGAUCAUGAGGUUUGUAAGACAAAGACAAAAACAACUCCGUACAGAGUGACUAUUUAAGUUUUACCACUUGAAAACUCAGCACCCUUACAUGU